AGAGUUUGAUCAUGGCUCAGGAUGAACGCUGGCGGCGUGCCUAAUACAUGCAAGUCGAACGAGGUGCUUUUGUAGCAAUACGAAAGUAUCCUAGUGGCGAACGGGUGAGUAACGCGUUGGUGACCUACCCCAAAGUGUGGGAUAACAGUCCGAAAGGAUUGCUAAUACCGCAUGUGGUCUUCGGGUUUAGAAACUGAUGACUAAAGGAGCAAUUCGCUUUGGGAGGGACCUGCGUCCCAUCAGCUAGUUGGUGAGGUAACGGCUCACCAAGGCGACGACGGGUAGGGGACCUGAGAGGGUGGCCCCCCACAAUGGAACUGAAACACGGUCCAUACACCUACGGGUGGCAGCAGUAGGGAAUAUUGGUCAAUGGGCGAAAGCCUGAACCAGCAACGCCGCGUGUGCGAUGAAGGCCUUCGGGUCGUAAAGCACUUUUCUGGGAGAUGAGAAAGGACAGUAUCCCAGGAAUAAGUCUCGGCUAACUACGUGCCAGCAGCCGCGGUAAAACGUAGGAGGCGAGCGUUAUCCGGAUUCACUGGGCGUAAAGCGCGUGCAGGUGGCUUGGUAAGUUAGGCGUGAAAUCUCCCGGCUCAACUGGGAGAGGUCGUCUAAUACUACCGGGCUUGAGAGCAGAAGAGGAAGAUGGAAUUCCCGGUGUAGUGGUGAAAUGCGUAGAUAUCGGGAGGAACACCAGUGGCGAAGGCGAUCUUCUGGUCUGUUUCUGACACUCAGACGCGACAGCUAGGGUAGUAAACGGGAUUAGAGACCCCGGUAAUCCUAGCCGUAAACGAUGUGAACUUGGCGUUGGUGGGUUAAACUCCAUCAGUGCCGCAGCAAACGCGAUAAGUUCACCGCCUGGGGACUACGGCCGCAAGGUUAAAACUCAAAGGAAUUGACGG
This 899-nucleotide ribosomal RNA is filed under the name uncultured bacterium. Its description in RNAcentral is "bacterial SSU rRNA". It matches the Rfam family "Bacterial small subunit ribosomal RNA", at positions 8 to 916 of the family's 1533-position model. The record is from RNAcentral.